This 437-nucleotide ribosomal RNA is filed under the name uncultured bacterium. RNAcentral describes it as "bacterial SSU rRNA". It matches the Rfam family "Bacterial small subunit ribosomal RNA", at positions 29 to 507 of the family's 1533-position model. The record is from RNAcentral.
AGCGAACGCUGGCGGCAUGCUUAACACAUGCAAGUCGCACGGUCAGCAAUGGCAGUGGCGGACGGGUGAGUAACGCGUAGGGUAUCUAUCCUCGGGUGGGGGGACAACCACGGGGAAACUGUGGCUAAUACCGCAUGAUGACUGAGGUCUAAAGGCGCAAGUCGCCUGAGGAGGAGCCUGCGUCCGAUUAGCUAGUUGGUGGGGUAAAGGCCUACCAAGCCCUACGAUCAGUAGCUGGUCUGAGAGGAUGAUCAGCCACAUUGGGACUGAGACACGGCCCAAACUCCUACGGGAGGCAGCAGUGGGGAAUAUUGGACAAUGGGCGCAAGCCUGAUCCAGCAAUGCCGCGUGGGUGAAGAAGGUCUUCGGAUUGUAAAGCCCUUUUGGCGGGGACGAUGAUGACGGUACCCGCAGAAUAAGCUCCGGCUAACUUCGUG